Molecule: RNA transcript, 2589 nt
Organism: Xiphophorus hellerii (green swordtail)
Lineage: Eukaryota; Metazoa; Chordata; Actinopteri; Cyprinodontiformes; Poeciliidae
Gene: sult4a1
Gene name: sulfotransferase family 4A, member 1
Exons: 9
Source: RefSeq, a predicted model, not a curated record
UUCAAAUAAUAAUAAUAAAAAGACUUCCAGAGAGAAAGGUUUGGUGUGGCCUAACCAAAGUCCAGAACCAAAUCUAACACAUAUGUUGUGGGUCGCCUGAAGAGGUCUGUGGAUCAGAGAUGUUUCACAAUCUGAAAUCUACGAGGAGAAAAGCUGGCCUCAUCAGGAGUGUGCAGACUUACAGGUGAUCAAACUUUAGCUGUGUCCUUAUCCGUUUCGUAAGAAGCCAUGCGCGCGCACGUCCUGACUCCUCCUCGACAGUGGUCCUGAUGCUAGUUCUCGGGGACGCGCGUUACGUCACCACUCGCUGCGUGGGUCACCUCGCUGCCCGCAUCCAGCGACAGGCUCUGCAUCCUUUCGCGUGGGCGAGCGCGUGCUGUCCACCUUGCGCUGGCGGAGAGUUGCAAGAAUGGCCGAGAGCGAGGCAGACACGCCGAGCACACCGAUCGAGUUUGAGAGUAAAUACUUCGAGUUUGAUGGAGUGCGGCUGCCGCCCUUCUGCAGAGGGAAGAUGGAGGACAUCUCCAACUUCUCCCUGAGAAGUAGCGACAUAUGGAUUGUUACCUACCCGAAAUCAGGAACCAGUCUGCUGCAGGAAGUUGUGUUUCUAGUGAGUCAGGGAGCAGAUCCUGAUGAGAUUGGCCUUAUGAACAUCGAUGAGCAGCUACCUGUCAUAGAAUACCCUCAGCCUGGGCUGGAUGUCAUACAGGAGCUGACCUCUCCUCGCUUGAUAAAAAGCCAUCUACCCUACCGAUUUCUCCCUACAGCUAUGCACAACGGAGAGGCCAAGGUUAUCUACAUGGCCAGGAACCCCAAAGACCUGGUGGUGUCCUACUAUCAGUUCCACCGCUCUCUCAGGACCAUGAGCUACCGUGGAACUUUUCAGGAAUUCUGUCGGCGCUUCAUGAAUGAUAAAUUGGCUUAUGGUUCCUGGUUUGAACAUGUUCAGGAAUUUUGGGAGCAUCGUUUGGACUCCAAUGUCCUCUUCCUGAAAUAUGAAGACAUGUUCAAGAACCUUGGGACGAUGGUGGAGCAUCUGGCCCGGUUCCUCGGUGUUUCCUGUGAUAAAACUCAGCUGGAAGUUCUGGUGGAAAACUGCAACCAACUGAUUGAGCAAUGCUGCAAAUCUGAGGCACUGUCUAUCUCUAGCUUGAGUUGAAAUCUGGUGUCUGACCUGUUGCUCUGAUCUGUGUCAUGUCACGUCACAUCAGGUCGUGUGGGUGUGUGGAGGGACGUCUUCACUGUGUCCAUGAAUGAGACAUUUGAUGCUUAUUACAGACAGAAGAUGGCCAAAUCUGACCUAAGCUUUGACUUCUGCCUGUGAGGACAGCUGUACCUCUCUCACCAAAGACUCUCACUCCCUUGAUACCACUGAUCUCUAUAAGUGAUCAUAUCUUGUAGAGAUAUGAUCUGCAUUUCCAUCAGCUCAAUCAGUCUGAAGUUUAACUGUGCAGUCUGAGAGUAGAUUGACCUUCUAAAAAGGUUCCACAGAAAUCACACUUUCAACCAAACAGAAAUCACUGUGUAACUUCUAAAAUAUCAAUGAUCAGUUCCAAAAUUCACUAUAUUUGUUGAGGCUGCUGUGUACAUUUGGGUUACUGUGGAAACAAGCAGGUUCUACAAACCACAGAAAGCAAGAAGUAUUUGGAUCAUGCAGUAUUUACAUCUACUUCCUUUCCACUUGGAAGCAGAUAGUUUCUAACUUCCAGCUGGACUCUGGCCUUGUUCCAGAGACUGUUUGGUUUAAUAAACAAGACAAAUCACAUUGUGUUCAACAUCCACAAAAAUGGUGUCAGGUCUGCAAUAUUUCCAAUGUUAUUGCUUCUUUAUGUACACAUAUGAAUGUGUUGUUGUACUGUUACAUUCAGCUGAUGUGAGUCAACAUUCACUGACAUCUCAGGAAUUUGACAGUUGUGAGCUUUCUUCUGAGAGUUGACUCUGUCUCCAUUCCAAUUCUCCUGUCUUUAUCUUCUUCCUGUAAAUGUUAGGUGAACUGUGCUGUGCAAACUAAUUUUCACUGCUUAGAGUCUAGCACAUUACAAAAAUUCAGUAUAUUCUUAACAGAAAUGAAGGACAUUUGUUGGGUUUAUUGUUUAUCUUGAAACAAUGUUUCUUGGCAAUAGAUCUUAAACCACUGAAAAGUCUUCGUCAUUUCUCUUGUGCAGCAAAGCUGAGACUUUGGAUGGCUGAACAGAUUAUGUCUGUCAAUGUUUGGUGUCAUUUAUUGAAUUGACUGACUGUUGAAUAAGAGACAAGACAUUUUGGUUAUCUAACAAUUUAUCAAACAAGGGCCUGCUGCUCAAAUUACAAACACAUUUUCCUUACAAAUGUGCCACAAUACAACUGGCUCCCCAACAGUACAUGAUUUAUUGCCAAGAAGCAUUCUAGCAGCAAAGACCAACCAACAAACACAAAAUUCUUUAUUGUUUGACUUAAGUUGAGCCUGAGAUAAUUGUGGGUGGAGGUGUUUUAUAGAAAUUCUCAUGGGCAACCACUUUCCCAUUAUAUACUCCUUUUGACCACCCCACUACUGUAUACUUUUGUUGGCACUGGGAAGAUCUGUGAAGUAAAUACGAACAUCGGAACCAA